GUCCCAUUAGUUUUCUUUGCAGCCUCGUUUGAAUGUCGCGGUUGCGCACAUUUGUACGGAAUGGGCACUGCACAGCUGAUUCAAAUGAUCAAGUCAUCAUCAAGCUUCGAGUGAUACCUUGUAACUGGAGAUUCCUUCAAAACGAUUGCCUACAGUUAACGUGUAGGGCACUGCAAGGUUGUGUGACCAGGGCCAUCUGGGACUGCCUCCUGGAGGAAUUCAGGUGUGUGAAGGCUACCUGUGUCCUGCAUAACUUCAUGAGGAUGGACACGAGGACAAGGGGGGAUCUGCAGCUCGCCGCAGUGUGCCAGAGGAGAAGUCUGCUGCUCUGCAGGAUGUUUCAAGAAUGCGGUCCAACAACACAGCAAGAGAGGCAAUCCGUGUGCGGGAGAUCUUCACCUCCUACUUCUUUGAAGAGGGUGCUGUUCCAUUGGCAACACCAUAGACUACACUAUGCACAACCAAAGGCUCUUUUAAGAGCCAUUUACAUUGCAAUAAGAGUAUUCUUCCAUUUACUUAACUAUGUCAACUGCAGUUAUUCAAUUCACAGUUUCUCUCCCUUUGAUUUCUACUUCGCAGGUGAGGGUGCUGUUUAGGUAGGAGUGGGGUCUGUACAAAAACAAAAUUUAGAACAAUUAGACACCCUAUAUCCCACACCUACACAAUCAUGUAUCAAUCUAAUUGAUGGAUUGUGUUGUGCACUAAGCAG
Molecule: long non-coding RNA, 709 nt
Filed under: Salmo salar (Atlantic salmon)
Lineage: Eukaryota; Metazoa; Chordata; Actinopteri; Salmoniformes; Salmonidae
Description: lncRNA (ENSSSAG00000108511.1)
Rfam family: Histone 3' UTR stem-loop (bases 462-507)
Source: RNAcentral